This 467-nucleotide ribosomal RNA is filed under the name uncultured bacterium. RNAcentral's name for it is "partial 16S ribosomal RNA". It matches the Rfam family "Bacterial small subunit ribosomal RNA", at positions 29 to 507 of the family's 1533-position model. The record is from RNAcentral.
ACGCACGCUGGCGGCGUGCUUCACCCAUGCAAGUCGAACGGAAAGGCCCUGCUUUUGUGGGGUGCUCGAGUGGCGAACGGGUGAGUAACACGUGAGUAACCUGCCCUUGACUUUGGGAUAACUUCAGGAAACUGGGGCUAAUACCGGAUAGGAGCUCCUGCCGCAUGGUGGGGGUUGGAAAGUUUCGGCGGUUGGGGAUGGACUCGCGGCUUAUCAGCUUGUUGGUGGGGUAGUGGCUUACCAAGGCUUUGACGGGUAGCCGGCCUGAGAGGGUGACCGGCCACAUUGGGACUGAGAUACGGCCCAGACUCCUACGGGAGGCAGCAGUGGGGAAUAUUGCACAAUGGGCGGAAGCCUGAUGCAGCAACGCCGCGUGCGGGAUGACGGCCUUCGGGUUGUAAACCGCUUUCGCCUGUGACGAAGCGUGAGUGACGGUAAUGGGUAAAGAAGCACCGGCUAACUACGUG